Molecule: long non-coding RNA, 30654 nt
Filed under: Vitis vinifera (wine grape)
Lineage: Eukaryota; Viridiplantae; Streptophyta; Magnoliopsida; Vitales; Vitaceae
Description: long non-coding RNA (VVIN_LNC005512)
Source: RNAcentral
GUGUCACCGCCAGCCACACGUGCGUGGAGAGCGAUUGGAAGGUGGAGAAGGGUUUGGAGCCGUCGGAUGGGGUUUUGUUGAGCGUGGACUUGAUCUGGUUGAUUUGAGAUUCCGAGAAUCGGAAGAUACGCUCACGGAGAAGCGGCGGUGGCCCCGCCGUGCCGUUCGGAGGGGCGGCUGCGGGGUUGAGAGGGAGGUCGAGCUUCACGCGCGUUUUGCGCGCUUUGGUGCGCUCGAGGAACGGUGGGACGGAGACGGAGUCGGCUCCGUUGCAGAUCUCGGCCCACGAGGUCAUGAAGUGCCACGUGGAGGUACCGUCGAGGAUCGCGUGGUUGAAAGCGCAUCCCAGUGCGAGUCCAUCUCUUAGCUUGGUGAACUGCGGAUCAUGACAGAAAAAUAAUUAGUUGGCUCACGGUAACAGACUCAAAAUUGGAGCCACGUGGAGGUUCAAGGGACGGUAACAGUGAGUAAUUGUCAUAAAUGCAUCUGUGGAUGCUUGCAUACUCGCGAAAGUAGUCUGUAGCUUCGGACUCGCUCUAGUAGACUGAAACCUGGAUUCUCCGUUUUCCAAUGCAAAAUGAAUGGCAGCUGGCACAUCUAAGUGUUUGAAACUUUUAUCUAGAGCAGUGCGUACGGGUAUUACCUAGAGCUGAACCUGCCUUUAUGACACUACCGUGGGCGCGAUACACCCAACCAUGCCUCCACCUUCAAAGCCUCAAAUUUUUACUUAUUUAUUUAUUUGUUUUAAAUUCAUUUAUUACCCAUUCUAUCAUAAUUAGAAAGAUAAAAAGAUAAUAAAAUAAAAUUAAAUUAAAAUGGGCUUUUAGGCCCACAACAAAGGCCCAAAAAAUUUCAUAAAUCAAAAAUACCCAUACCAUCAAUUUCUCAAAAAAGCAUAAGAAUAAAAUUAGGCAUGCCGUCCUUGUAUUAAUUGAAGUAGUUGAAUAACCUAGGAGGCUAGGACACGAAAUUUUCUUCUAGUCCAUGCUUUUCAACUAUUAGGAGAUCAUUCUUUUUGUACUAAAGAGGCAUAUAUGACUACUUUGAAUACAACAUUACGAGUAUGAAGUUUGGUAAGUGACAUGCCCCUACAAAGAUCCCAAAAAGGGAGAGUUCAUAAUAAAUAUUAAGAAUUUUAAAAUAAAAAUAAAAUAUUAUGUUCUUAAAUAUGCACAAAAUUAAACAAUUCCCAGCUUUAUCUUAACUAAUUUAUACCAUAUUAUAUAAAUAUUAUGCCAAAGGAUACGAUCUCUCCAUUCUCUGAUCAAAAACGUUUUCUAAAAUCAUUAUCAAACGUCAUUUUAAUCGAUAAUGUGAUAGAUAAUUUCUCGACUAUUAAUGAUAUAUUUGAUUUGGGAAAAAAAGAAAAAAAAAUACAAGGAAUAAUGUAAGUUUAUAUUUAGGAGAAAGAAGAAGAAGAAAUAAAUGUCCCUCUCCACAAAUGGAUCUACAUUUUGAUAUGAGACCUUGGUUUUAAGGUGGUGAAGUACAAUAAAUUCAUGGACAAUCAGCUUGGUAGGUGGGUAAAAUAAUGGGGAGAUGAUUACCUUCUUCUUAUCAUUUCUGUUUGGUUGGUGGGAUUUAGGAAACAUGACAAAAGAGAAAAUAAGUUAGAGCUGAUGCUAAUUUUUUUCAUUAAAUUUUCUCAUCAUACAAAGAGAGCAGAAAAUGAAAUUAAAUAAAUGAAUUUCAUUUGUAAUUUCCCAAAAAUUUUGUAUAUUAAUGUUUUAGUAAAUAAAAAUUUAAAUGACUUGAAGGCAAUGAAACAGUUCUGACAAUAAUACAUUGUCCUUCCCUAAAUAAACCCAACAAAUUUAAGGGCACCCCUAUAAUUUUAGGCCUGAUUUGGACCAAAAAGAGAAGAAAAAUAAAGAAAAAUUCAAUGCAAUAGAAUAGAAAAUAAAUAAAUUGUUACCUGUAGGACCAGGAGGGGUUUAUGAAGACCCUCAAAGUUCAAGACUUGGGUGUAUGGCACCAUAUCCUUCAUCAUGCUUGUGCACUCCACAUCUGUUAGAUCAGAGACACUGAUCUGAUCAGCACUUGCUUCCAACACUUCCACACCCUCCAUUUCAUCAUCAUACACAACCUUAAAGACCCCAUCUUCGUCCUUCUCAAGCUUCCCAGCCAACUGAUAAAACUCUUCCAAAACUACCCCUAACCCAUCCUUCAAUCUACCCACCAUGUCCUCAAAGUCAGACCCCUUGUAGAAUAGCAGCUUUUGGUUAUAGUAAAAGGCCAAAUAUGGGAGAUCAAAUGUGAUCAACUGACACUCUCUUCUCCCAAGCUUCUUAGUGGGCAUAAUGUGGGACUUUCCAUGGACAGACACCUUCACAACCUCAUCUUCCUCCUUCUUCACAACUUGAUCAGCUGCCAUGGUUGAUGAGAUGAAGAACCCUAAAAGCAAAGGAGAGAGAGUAGAGGUUUGGGGAGUGAAGAGAGAGGGAUUAAGGGAUAUACUUAUAGGGGAGUUUUCAUUUGAUAUGGUUGGAAGGUGCAUUUAUGGAAUGCAUGAGAGCAGUUGUAGGCCAUUUAAUGGCUCUUUUUUCUCCUCUGUUAGUCUGGGUGGAAGUUGAGUAAAGACGCUAUGGAAUGGCUGAGCACAGCUCCACUUUCUCUCUCUCAGAGCCUUUAAUGUAAUUUCACUAUCUUCUUUUUGAAAAGAAACAAAAUCUCAAUUAAGGCACCCUGGGCCAGUGGCUUUGACAAUCGUUACAAAGAAACAAGUUUUUGGGGGCACUUUCUAGCUAUAAAACUUUUUAGUAGACAAUAUUCUGCCCAAGAGAAAACCCAAAUCAUUCUUGAAUUUCAAGGCUCAAUUUGACCUAACCAUAACUCCCUGCAUUUAAAAGAUUGAUACGUGGUGGGAAAUACCCGUAAUAUCAUUUAUAAUGAUCUGUUUUCUAAAGCAUAGGUAUUAUCGACUUAAGAUAUAAGUUCAUACAUGUUGUUUUUAUGUAAAAUUUCUAAUAUGACUCGUAAGGAACUUUUUUUUUUGUUUUUAUAUUACCUUUUAAAAGUUAUGAUUUUGUCUUUAACUUCAACUUCUAAUAGUCAAAACUACGAAACUAACCAAACCAGAACUUAGAAAAAUAUCGAAAAUUUCUUUUCUUAAUAGACAUGAAAUCUUGUACCAAGGUUUCUAAAUUACCUUUAUGCCCCAAGUUUUUCCACAAUAAUUAGUCCUAGUCUCUUAGAAGAAGAAAUUUGAUUUUGAUAGGACUAUGUAUGCUUUUUCAAAAUUGGGGUUGAGUGAACCAUUGACAGGAACCUCAUGGACAUAGAAAAAGUUCCCAAAUGUGACCUUCAUCAAUCCAUUGCCAAAUGCAGACCUAAAAUUGAUGAACCCAUGAGGUUGUAAAAUUAAUAAGUUGUGAAAAGUGGUUGACAGUGUACACUUUCUUUGUUAAGAAUUUUUCAUUUUGGGAGUAGGGAAAACACAUGGAGAGAAGUAUUGAGUUGCAUGGGUAAAAGGGCCAUCCCCAACUUCAUUUGCAGCUAAUUUUCAUGGGCUUGAACCAAUUAAAAUUACUCAUCUUUAUGGUCAUGGGGGGCUGAGGGGUUGUUGAGGUUUAAAUGUGUCCCUUCCGACUCCUUCUCUGAAUGACUCAGUAUGCAACUUAGUGUGAACUACUUUAGAAUUCAUUUCUUGUCUUGGAAGAGGCUGUCAUGUGUGAUUCAUUUAUGCCACUUUGGAUCCUGUUUUAUUGGUUUUUAAAAGCUAGAAUGCUUUCAUUUCUUUUAAGAGAUUUUAUUUUGUGGGCAUUUGGGAUGGUUGUUAAUUUUUUUGGUCUGCAUUUGUAGUAGUAUGAUAAUCAAAAGUUAGAUAGUGUUUUUAUAUGUAUUAUGCUUGAGCGAUAAUGUCAAGUUACAUGAUCGGUAUAGUGAAAUUUAGACUAUUAUAUAAAGAUACAAACAAAUGAGAUUAGAGAGAGUGCACAUAUGACACUGUCUGAUUGAUGGUGUUUUCUCCAUAUUGUAUUGAAAAAACAAAAAUACGUUUUUUUUUUCGUAUCCGGCUUUAAAAAAGCAAAAAACAUGAACAUCUCUUAUUUUUCAAAAUAAAAUAAACCACAUAAAGAAGUAAGAAAAAAAAAAAAACCUAUCAUGAGAAGAUUUUACCCGUCUUAUUUAUUUAUUUUUUUAAGGUGUGUUACUUAAAACAUAGUUUUAAAAGGAUGAUCGUAAAAAUAUGAGUAGCAUUUUGAUAUUAUUAAUUUAAAAUAAAAAUUUUGGUUUAACUUCAAAUUUGACAUUAGGGUCAUUAAAAUAGAGGUAAAAUGUAGAUGUGAAAUUAAAAAUAUUUAUUUGAUAUUCCUAAUUAAUGAAAAUAGCAUUAUUUUCAAUUAAUGGUUCAUAUGAAAGGGUUCACUUCAAGGGACCUCCCACAUCUACCCCAUCAAUGCUAUUUAACAUUAAGAAGAUGGUGCCCUCUCUUUGGGUGGAUGGGUCAUGCACUCUAUAGGUAAUGGAAAAUGACUUGUUAUUCAUUGACAAUUUGACAUACAAGGCUACACCUACAUCUUGGAAUUUCAAUUUCUUCUUCAUUUCUUAUAAUGGAAUUUGAAUAUCAAAAUUUAUGGUGCAAAAAACAAUAAACAAAAUUGAAUUUGGGUCCUUAAAAUAAUAAAUAACUAAAUAAAUAGCUUUCUUGAUUGAGAAUUGACAUGUCAUGUGGGAUUUUUUUGGCCCUAUUGCUUCUUGCCAUUACUACAUGACUUUAGACUAUAGUUGCUUUUUGAAAAUAAAUUUAAAAAGGGGAUAUUAAUUAUGUAAUUUUUUUUCUCUUUGGUUAAAGAUGAAGGGUCUAUUUGGUAAUUAUUUUGAAAAAAUAGUUUUUGAGAACAAUUUUUGAAAACUAUUAUUUAAUUUUUGUAAAACAAAAGUUUGUUUAAAAACUUAAAUUUUUUUUAACUUAUUUAAUAUUUUAAAAUAUGUUUUAAAAAGAAAUUUUAUAUCUAAUUCUAUAUAUUUGUAAAAUUAUUUCUUAAAACAACCCUCAAAAAACAAGUAAAAAUAAUAUAAAACAAUUAAGAGAUGUUCUCUGAAAACAUUUUGUUUUCUAUUCUAAAGAUUACCAAACGUGUUUUCUCUAUUUUUUGUUUUGAAAAAUAGAAAAUUAUUCUAAUAAAUAUUUCUCAAACAAGUUCGAAAAUUCUCAAUUUUUUUUUAUAAAAAAAUCAUAAUGUCAUAAUAAUCACAUUGACAUUUAGUGGUAUGUUUUCAAGAAAUGGUUUUUAAAAAUCAAAUUUAGUAAUAUUUUGGGGUGUAAAGUAUUUAUUGCUUGUAGUUAAUGAACCAAUAAAUCACAAAAUAUAUGAUAUUGUUUGUUAAAAUUCUCAAAUUUAAUAUAGCUUUUUAAUUCAGUUUAUUUAUAUACUCUAUCAAACUGAUGAUCAUUUGUAUGCAUUUUCACUUUCUAUUUUUAAAUAGAAAACAUAAUGAUAACAUUUUUUUUUCUAACAUUAAUUUAUGCUUCAAAAAAGGCAUUAUUAUCAAGUUUUGUGUAGUGGGAUAAGGGAUAUUGUUGAGUAUUUAAACCAAAAAUAAGCACCAAAAAAAAAAAUCAAAUCUUUUUUGUUAAAAAAAUUAAAUUUUAUUUUUUAAAAUAAAAAUAUAAGGCCCGUUUAGCCAUGUUUUCUAAAAUUAUUUUUAAGUUAAUAACAAAAAACUGUUUUUAAAAAUAAGUUUUAAAAAAAAGGUCAAAUGGGCCAAUAUUUUCCUUUUGGUUUUUAAAAAGGGUGAAAAAUUUUCCUACUUACUCUCUAAAAAUUAUUAUCUAUUUCAUUUUAUUUUUAAAAUUUAUUUCCAAAAAAUAAUAACCAAUCAAUGUUAGAAAUUUUUAAAAACAACUUAAUAUUUUUUAAAACAAAAAAUUGUUUUUAAGUCACACCAUCAAAUCAGGCUCAUAGACUCAUGAAAAUUGUUGUUUGAAGUUUUGUAAAAAUAAAUAAAUAAAUAAAAGUUUGGAACUUGAAAUGUUUUUGUCUUAUUUUUUAUAUUUUUAAAUAUUUUUUUUUAAAAAAAUUAACUUUUAUAAACAAGUCAAAAACUACUAAAAAUGUUAUAAUAAACACCCUGUCUCCGAUUUUUUCUUUUCCUAAUUACCAAAUAUGUUUUCUUUUAUCUUUUUAUUCUCAGCAUCUAAUAAACCAACAUAGUGUUGAUAUUCUUUUGUCAAUAUUUUUUUUUUCCUAUUUUUUGUUAUGUUAUUGGUAACCGACUAUUUAUUAAGCACAUGGCUCCACUUGAAAUGACCUUAUUUGAAAAUUACACAUUAAUUAAUGGUAUCCAAACCUACUAAGAUUUUGACUUGCCAACAACUCAUUAACCAAAAACUCAAACUAUUUUCUAUGUACGUACUUUCUUUCAUGGAAUCCUUUUUCCUCGUUGCCCAUGGAUAGCAACCACUAUAUAUUGAAAAGGGAACGUCAGCUCAAUAUUGAUAGCAAUAGAUCACCAUGGAAAUUGCCUACCACUCUUCUAUUUCUCACAACCUUGUUUCUUCCAAAAUAAAACAAAAAAAAAAAAUGAUAAUUGCUUUCUAAUCUAUGAAAAAAAUUUGGAAUACUAAGGUAAUUUUUAAGUCUUGAAUCAUUUUACGGUAAUAUUUUAAUGAUUCUUUUUCUUGUUUAUAUAUAUUUUAUCUCAUAAAUUACUCGAAGUUUGGUUUUCGAGAUUGUUAAUAUGAACAAGGGAAAAAUAGGUUUUGAUUCACUAAUUUGAAAAAAUAUAGAAAAAUGAAUCUCGACUUUUAUAAAUUAGUUUUAUCUUCAUCCAUUUAAAAAUAUUUUAAAAUAUAUGCACUUUUCAUAAGUCAGACAAUUAUUUCCUAAAAUACCCUUUUACUUGAUAAUGUUAAAUAAAAUUAUCAAAAAAAUAUCAUUUUAAUUUGAUAAAAAUAUCUUAUAAAUAAAAGUAUAUGACAAUAAGUUUUAGUUGAAACAUACGUAUUUAUUUCAAACAUGUAUUUUCCUACUAAAAUCUUUACAAUGCGAACAAAUAUAGGUCAUAAGUCUAAAUAGAGAGGAUGCCCAAAACGUUCUCGUGUUAUGCUUGUACAUUUAAAUGUUUAUGAGAUUAUGAAAUAAUAAAAUUAGUAAUAAAAGUUUAGCUAACCUAUGGUUAUUUGAAGAUUGUAACCAAUUUUUUUAUAUGAAGUAGGUAAGUGAUGAGAGGUGGGUUUAAGCAAUAAAUGAAAAAAUUCAAUUACCUGAUAAAAACAAUACAUGUGAGCCAACUACUCGACAAGUUGAAAAGAAACAAUCUAUUAGUAUUAAAUGAGUUUAUAAGAUGAAGUACAAACUCGAUGGUAAAGAUAAUCAAUUUUAGACUAGAUUGAUGGCAAAAGGCCACAAAUAGUAGGUAUCUAUAAUUUUUAAGUUCUUAUACUAGUUGCCAAACUAAACAUCAUUAGCAUAAAAAAUUGAACUUGUAAUUAAGAAAAAGUGAAAACUUCACUAAAUGAAUGUUAAAUGAAGAAAAGUUUUUAUUAAACAAAAUAAGCAAGUUUACAAACUAGAAAAUGUAUUAUUUUAGUUAAAGUAAAUGUCACAUACUUGGUAUAGGCGGAAUGAGAUAUUUAUUUAUUGUAGCAAAGUUUUCGAAAGUGUUCUUCUAAUCAUACACUCUGCACAAAAGUUAAAUUCUUAUAGUGAUAUAAUUGUUAUAUACCUAUAUAACAUUAUUUGAUUUUUAUAGGAAAUCGUCAAGAGAUGAUUGAAGAUUUCAAAGGGAUGUUUGAAGAUUUCAAGGAGAUAACGAUCCAAUAAUUUAAGAUAAUAAAUUUGGUACUAAUGUCCUAUUUUCUUAAAAAUCGAGGCCCAAUAGGAUAAUGAUAUCUUUAUCUUACAGAACAAGUGUAUCAUACACAUUUUAGAAUGAUUUAUGAUCAUUAGUAAUAACUUGCACUCCUACUACAAACUGAUUAAAAAUAAAAAAUAACAAAAUAAAGGACAAAAUAAUUAAUAAAUUUCACAUAUUUCAAAAUCGUAGUAGGAACUCUUUACUAUUUUAUUUCUACUGGAUCGAAUAUGCUUUAAGAGUAGAAAUUACUAGUAGAUUAAUGAAAAGAAAUAUAUGUUACAUUUGUGAGCAGUAAGUUUAGCAAUGACACUUGUGAUCAUGAAAUUUUAUACUCCUAUUUGAGCAACUUCAUUUUGGUGUGCGACAAGGUUAAUAAUUAGAGCAACUUUGAAAUAUGUCGAGCAAUUUAGCUUUAUAGGAUACUUAGUAAGUUGAAAUAUCGACAAAAAGAUCCUAUAAAGAUUUUGUAUGAUAAUAAAUUUAUUAUUGCAUUGCCAAAAAAUUUGUUGUUUUAUGAUAAAGGCUAACACAUAUGCAUCAAGUUUGAUUACAUUAAAAAACUUGUGAAAUCAAGCUCGAGUUUUGUGGAACAAAUUACAGAUAUUUUUAUAAAACUACCAAUAUAGAACAUAUUUGAAAAAUUAAAGAUGACAUAAGAUGUAAUUAGCUUUAAAGUUCGGGUUAAGGAAAGUUAUUGAAAAAUUUUAAGAAUUAUUAUUUAUUUAGGUUUUUAAUAAUUCAUAUAUAAUCAAUUUAUUAUAUAUAUAUAUAUAUAUUGAAAUAAAUUGUGAAAUCCAAUAUAAAAAUUGGUGACAUUAUUUUUAAUAAUAAAAAUGAAAAAUAAAAUAAAUUAUUUUGAUGAGCAAGUGGGUGGACCCUGGUCCAUAAUCUCCUUCACCACAAGGGUUCUCCCUCUAUUAAUGGUCAUGAAACAUAAGUAUAAAUGCUCUUCUAGCUCAUCUAGCUGCUGGCUAAAGUUAGAGUCAUUCUCCUUCAGCUGGCGCGCCACUUCUCCACUGGCUUGCAGGUUAUCCUCUUUAUGCUCCAACCAAAACCUAACCAUUCCACUUAUAUGCUCCAGCUCAUUGUUUAGCCUGGCCACAAGCCGGCUUAUCAUGUCCAUAUCCUUGUUCAGUAUGUAAGUUCCUUUGGCAGCUGCGUCAAGCUGAGCCGACCGCCUGGCUAAUUUCCUAGUCGAGGCUAACUCAAAUGAAGCCGCUAUGAGACCUGGUGCAGCCACCAACAUUGCUAAGGCGUGAGUUGUGGCGAUUACAGCCACCGAAGCCGUUAGCGCGACAAGCAAAAUAGCUGAGCCGCAUUUUAUGCUUUUGACGAGCUGGAGCUUGGCUCGAGCCUUGUCACGUCCUAACUCUAACCGCUUGAGUAAGCCAGAGCAGCCGGUUUGGAUGACCCGAACCCGAGCCAAUAUUACUGGAAAGCGGUUUACGGGUAGUAACUCAGUGGCUCCAUGAGAUUCCAGGGUGGAUUUCAAGGAUCGGUACCAAACACGUAUACGGUUAAUAUCCUUUAGCAGAAGGCUACACAGGAAAGAAGCGUUAGCCGUUUCAGAAAAGUAUUCGGCUAGAAUAGAGUGGUUUUUGGGUCUGCUUUGAGCCAAAGCCAAUAGUUGAGUGACAGUGGGUUGGUCCGGAUCUAAGAGAUAUUCAGCGAAGAGCCGGUAGGAUGAGAGCCGAGCCGCAGUGGUGGACUCUAUGGGAAUUGACGUGGCGCUAUCUCCAUGGGUUAGAGUAAGGACACGUGUCCAAAACUCAAUGUAUGAUUCAGUGCGGAAGGCAUUAGCAUAUUCUUCGCGAUAAUCCACAUAAUUAGGAAGAUUAGGAGGGUUGGAUCCGGAGACUGCAUGAUAAAAAACAAAAUGGGAUAUCACAAUCUUUUAAUUUGUCACAUCAUACUAUGUUAAAUUACAACCCGACAUCAACAAUUUAAUCCAAAAACCAAUUAAUGUUUGUUAAAAAUACGGUAAAUCUUUUAUGAUAUUCUGCAUCGCACCUCAUUGAUUUAUUUUAAUAGACAUUAUUUAGGUGGUCCAUUUCCCGAUUUAAAAACGAUUCUUAUAACUCAAACUCAUUACCCUUAACCUAAUAUCAAUUAUUGGAUCGGGUUUUGAUCGAUUUUUUACUCCAAUACUAGUUUUUGGAUCAAACUUUCACUAUCUAAUAUAACUAUCAAUUUGCAUUCAACAAAAAUAAAUCAAACCUUUUAUAAUAUUCAACAUAACAAUCAACAGUCGUAUUCUAAGGGUACACCCAAAAGGACAUUACUAUAUCAAAAAAUUAGGAUGUUUUCAUAUACUAAAUUAUCACAUUUCCUCAAAACGAAAUUACUUUCAACUAUUGAAUACCACUCUAAUAGUGAAAAAUAUAAUUAAUGAAUCACAUGCAUAGAAAAUCAUACCAAAGUACUUGCCCUAUCCAUGAUAUAAAGUCUUAACACAAAUUAGGGCAAUCAACUUCUGAAAAAUGGGCACAUGGUACAUACCAUGGGACACCCUGUUCUUCAGUACAGGGCUUCAAUGGCAUUAGUGGUGAUGUGAGACUACUCCUAGACCCCUGUUCUCUCUUUUCUUUCAUUCCGACUAUCUUUGGAAGACAUGGGGCUGUGGGGGAUUCUGGUUGUUGGGUUAUGCUAACCCUAGCCAUUCUCAAUCAAUGCUCUUAACUUCACUCAUGUUGGACCAAUUUCUAUUUCUCACAUUUUGUACCCACUAAAUUUCUAGGGUAGAUGUGGCCUGUUUGGGCUUAUUUUGGGUUCUUUUUUAGCUCCCUAGGGCCUAGCCAAUUUGCCACUUUUUCUAUCAUUUUAGAAAUGACAAUGAUUUUUUUUUUUCCAAAAAAGAAAACAUUUUUAGUAUAUUUUUCUUUAUUGGAAGUAGAUGGUAAUUUAGAACUAUACAAUUUAUUCUACAAUAAGAUAAAAUAAUUUUAAUAAAAACUAGUGUUGAACCUACAUUUCACCAAACAUGAAUUUGUUGAGUUGAAAUAUUAAAUCGAUGUAAUUUAGAAAAAUAAUUAUAACUUAAGACUAUGUUUCGUCUAUGAAAAGUAUUAAAAAAAGAAAAAAGUUAUUAAUUUUUUUUCUUAAAAUAACUUUUAAUAGAAGGGACUUCAAGAUUUAUUUUAAGGGAACAAGGGAAUAAAUUUUUUAUUUCAAGUAGUUGAAAACAAAAUUUUAUUUAAAAUUUUUUAAUUUCAUAUUGUUAAAUAUUUAUAUUUUAAAAAUAUAAAUUAAAUUAUUGAUAUAUUCUGAAAAGGAUACAUUUUUUGAAAAAAUAUUUUUGAAAGAGUUUUCUAAAGCCUCCUAUUAGACAUGUAUAAAAAGAACCAUUGGUUUUUUUUUUUUUUUUUUUCUAUUUUUAAAAGUAAAAUUAAUAUUAUUUUCUGUGGUGAAAUAAAUCUAAAUAUCAAAAAGUUAUGAAACUGCCUCUAAGAAAAUAAUUGAGAUGAUUUUUUCUUUUCUAACCAUGAAAAGAAUCAGACACUACUUUGGGCCAUUUGUAUGGAUUAAAAUGGGCUCCUAUGGGCCUUUGUGGCCCAUUUAAAACUUUUUCAAUAGGAGUAUCUUAGGCCUUGGCUCCAUACGUGGUAGCCCAAAUCCUUGAGCCCACCCAGGCCUGUGAUGGUGGCAUGAAUGGGAGAAAAAUAAAGGCUAGUGUAGAUAAAAUAAAAUAUAAAUAAAAAAUGAAAGUAUAUAUUUUAAGGACAAAUUCAGUCUGUCAGUUUAUUAAGACCUUGUUUGGAUUGACUUCUAACAAGUAAAAAUAUAUUUUUUCAUCUCUUGACGUACAUAAAUUUAUCAAAAAAUUUAUUAUUUAAUAAAAAAACUUAAAAUAAAGGGUUAAUCGAUUAAAAGGGUCAUUAAAAACCUAAUUUUUGAAAUUCACCUUUUCAUCAUUUUUCUAGCUUUAUCUGGACAAAAAUAUUCUCGUAUUUUUCUCGUAAAAAUAACCACUUCUUUUAAAACCUACAUAUAAAUACUUGAAAUAUUAAAGGUCAUUUAUGUCAAAAAUUAAUUACUUUUCAAGUAAAAAUAUGAAAAGUUAAAUUUACAAAUUUGAAAAUUAUUUUAUCCCUUUUAAUCAAGUAAUUCUAAAUAAAAAUAAGCACAUAAUUAGUUCUUAUAAAAGCCCUGUUUUAAAUGAAAUAUAAAAAAAUUUUGAUUUAAAAUUAAAUUAAAUAAAAAUGAAAAAUAAAAGUAAAAAAACGAAGAAAAAAAUAGGUGUAAAAUCAAUAAUUUUUUCUACAUGCUAACCUAAACUUUUUUUUACUCAUUUUAGCUAUUUUAUAUAAAAAUUAAAUAAUUUAAAAAUAAAUAACUUUUUAACUAAUUUUAAUUAUAUAUUUUUUAUAACUAAACUAUAUACGAGAAAAUCACUAUCUUUAAUAUUUUUUUUUCCUUUUGUUUUUAUUGAUAUUUUCAUAAACCCAACAUAAUCAAAAUAUGAAAAUGAAUAAAUAAAUACAUGAAUAAAAAAAAAAAAUUGCAUACCAGAGCAUGAAAGGAAUUUUCGGAUGCAAAUGCUGAUUCUUUUCCUCAUUCUGCUUCUUCAAAUGCAAAAUUCAGGUCAGAGAUGAAGAAAAUUUGGCUUCAAUGGUUGGAUUCUACACAAGUCUGGAGAAGGAAGUGAAAGGAAAAUGGAAAAGGGCUCUUUAUAAACCAAGAAAAUAGUUUCUUGCUUUUGCUUGUGGGAAAGGUGAGCUUGAAGUGCAAGCCAAGGACUUGCCUACAUUUUGAUACUUACAAGGAAAAUGCAAAUAUUUGAUUAUUAUUAUUAUGAUCAUAUUUUCCGGGGAGUGAACUGUUUGGAAGGAUGGAAAAUUUUGUGGGAAAGCUUAUACACGUGGGAUAAUUUGUAUAGUUCUAGAAAACAUUAAUGUGCAAUCGAAGUCUAUGGAGAUAGAUUGCUUGUUUUAACCCACCACCCAUAAUAUUAUUUUCUUAAUUGAAUGAAAUAUGCCAUAAAAAGAAAAAUAAAAAAAAAUGAUUAAAAAGAAAAACUUAUCAUAAAAAAAGAUGAAGAAGCAAUAAACAUUCGAAUAAUGUAUAAAAUCUUGCUUACUAGAUCAAAUAUGGGAUAUUAGGUUGAAAGCGUUAAAUCAUAAAUCCAAAUACUAAGUGAGUAUUUGGUAAAUCAACUUAAUAGCUUAAAGUGAUUUAAUAAUUAAUUUAAGUUAUUAAGUAAAUUAAGUAUGUUUGAUAAAACAAAUUAAUGAUAUAACUUAAAAUAAAAAAUAACUUGAAGUAAUAAGUAAAAAUAAUUAACUUAUUAUUAAGUCUACAUCCCUAUUUUUACUUUUUUACCCUUAUUUGUUUUAAUUACUUCCAUAAUUUUUUUUACUACUCCACGACACCUUUAUUGUUACUUCAUCUUUUUUAUCCUAGUUAUAAUUUAUGAGGAUGAAUAUGUUAAUUUAAUGAUUUAAAAUAAAUUUUAAGUUAAUUUUAUCAAAUAACUUUAAUACUUAAAGUAAAAAUUAAAUAGUAAGUUUUAAGUCAAUAAGUUAAAUAAAAUUUAACUUAAAGUCAAUUUAAGUCAUUAAAUAAGUAUUAAGUCUUAACAAAUACCCCUAACAUUCACUUAGUAAAAAUAUAAAAUAUUUAAUUACUCAAGUAUUGGUUUGAUUAUAAUUUCUGUUUUUUAUUUUUAAAAUAGAAAAAAAUGAUAACUUUUAUAAAGAUGUGAAAACUAUCACAAUCUACAUAUAUUGAAAGAGUGAUAACAUUAAAAUUUAUUUACAAAAAUUGAAGUAUAUAAAAAAAUUACUAUUUCAAUUUUCAAAAUUUUCAAAAGUGAUUUUUAAACUAUAAAAUAAUUUAUUUUUAAAAAAUAUCUUACUUUUAUAUGGUAUAUAUUUUAAAAAUAAAAAGAAUAAAAAGUAUACUUGCAUUUAUAUACUAAUUUUAUAUCAUUAUUAAUAUUUACUCAUUUUAUUUUAAAAUAUGUUAUUUAUAUAUAAUUAAACUAUACCUCAACAAGAUAAAGAGGAAGAAAAUAAAGUUAGUAAUCUCACAUCAAUUAUUGAUGGUAUUUGUUCUUUGACUGAAUAGAAAAAGUCAAAAUAUUUAAUUUUUUUUAUUAAGUUAAAAGUAAUUGGUUAAUAUCAAUCAAUACAAGUAAAGUAAAUUUUUUAUCAAUAGAUUUAAUUUAGUCAUAUUGAUCGAUAUCAAAAGAUUACUUUUACUUAAAUUAAAAAAGUUCAAUAUUUUAUCUUUAUUUUAGAAUCAUUGCAAAAAUAUGAAUGAAAUAUAAAAAGUUCAAUAGCUUUGAAAACGAUAGAGGCAUCGAUGACUAUUAAUUUUAUACAUCCGUCAAAUUGAUGGACUAAAAUAAUAUUUUAGUACUUAAUUUUUAAUUUUAUCAAAUACCAUGUUAGUGGAUUAAUUUUUAAUUUUAUCAAAUUCCUUGUUACUUUCAAAUCACAAAUAGUUUACAAAAUUAAUUAAUUUUAAAUCUAAAAAUGAAUUGAAGUUUGUAUCAACUAUGUUUCCUAAUUUCAAACCUUAGUGAUUUAGGAAACCAAGUUUGUAUCAACUAUGUUUCCUAUUCAUGUCCACUUUCUAUUUUCUCUCAUGAGCCAAUUGGAUUACCAUCCAAAAAAAGUAAGAAAAUAAAUAAAUUACACAAAAAUAGAAAUUCUUAGUUUACACCAAAUCUAUGAUUCUAUCUAUAAAUAACUACUAGGACUCAAAUUUAGCUCAAGAAAUUUGAUGUUACUUUCUAUUUCUACUCAGAUUUCCGCUCUAUAUAUUCUCUAAAAUCCAAGGUUUUUCCAGUUUCUGGUUAGAAGAAGAAGAUGGUAAAGCUUGAAGAUAUGGAGGAUGUGAUGAUGAAGAAGGACCGCUGGGAGAAGUUUGAUGCCCUGGUAGAAGUAGCGUUCGUUGCCGGACGGCAAGAGGAGGACGAAGAACGAGAGAAGAAAAUGAGAGAAGAGAUGGAGAAAGCUGUUGCAUUCCUCUCCCUCGCCGCGAAGAAGCGUUGUAAGACCGUGCCGAGACCAUAUCAGCAGCCGAACAUGGAGCCACCUCCGGAGAUGCCGGAGAGAUUCAGAAGGAAGAUAAUGGAGAUGGGGGGAGACAAUGUGGCGUUUGUGAUCGAGAAGAUGCUGUUCGAGACGGACGUGAGCGCGGGGCACAACCGAUUAUCGAUGCCCAUGUGCCAAAUCAGGCAGGACUUUGUGACGAAGGAAGAGAGGAGGAGGUUGGACUCGACGGACGCGAACAUAAAUGGAGUGGAGGUGAUUCUGGUAGAACCGUCCUUGGAGGACGACGAAGUGAUGCUGAAGAAGUGGAAGAUGAAGAGGAACUCGAUUCUGUAUGUGCUGAUAAAGAACUGGAACUCUGUUGUGAAGAGGAAUGGACUGGGUGCAGGGGAUGUGGUUAGGGUUUGGUCGUUUAGGGUUGGGUCGAAGCUGGGUUUUGCCCUGGUUAGGGUUGGAGAUGAGGAACAUGAAGGCAAGAAAGGCAAGUCGACGGGGAAGAAGAAGAAGGAUGGUGGGAGUGGAAGUGGGAGUAAAGGGAAAGAAGUUGAAGACAAUGGUGGCAAUGAGACUUGGAUCCACUAGCCAUGCAUACGUGAUGUGUUCUUAGGGUCAUAUUUGUAAUUUGAGGGGUUUGUUUUUUUUUUUUUUUGGAAAAUUAUCUUACAUGGUUUUUGGGUCCUGUAAGAGUUAGGUCCUGCAAGGGUUUUUGAGUCCUGUUAAGUGUUAGGUCUUGUAAGGGUUUAUGAGUCAUGUUUGGGUUAAGUCACCAAAUUUCAUUGGGAAAAUUUAACUAUAAGAUAGUUCAAAUUUUCUCAAAUUUUCUCAUUUGUUUGCCUUUUUCUCCCAUAGCUCAUAGCCAUUUAUGAUCAUAAUAAUGUAUUAAUAUUGAAACCAAUGUGGCACGAUGGGGGCACCUCUAACUCUAUUAUUUUUGUAGUGAAACAUAGGUAUAUAUGACACAUCUUAUAAUAUAAAUAUAUUAAAAAUAUGAUGUAUUAUGAUAUGAUCAAUUUUAUUUUUUUAUUAAUUAUUAAUGUUGAUUUUUUAUUAUUAAAAUGUUUUCUUGAUAACUUUAUUACAAAGUAAAACAAUUCAAUAUUUACGAAAUCAAUAUAAUAAUAAAUAUAAUGACUUUGUUACUCUGUGCAACCCCUCAAUUCAAACCGAUGCUUGUUGUUGCACCAUGAAAGAUGUUGUAAAGCACGUAUGGAUAAUUGUCUAGACACUUAUGAAUAUUCAAAUCAAAACUGUGAAAGCCUAGAAAAAUACUUGUCUAGACACUUAUGGAUAAUUGUGAUACACUCAUUGACAUUCAGUUAAUAGCAAACCAAUCAUAUAAGAUACUUUUUUUUUGUUUAGUUGUUAUAUAUGUAUACUUAUGAGUUUUAUCAUAAGAAUCAUUGACAGUGAAAAUAGACUUAAUAUAUGAUGUUAAUUCAUUGAUAUAAUGUAUUAAUAUGGGAACCGAUGUGGCGUGAUGGGCACCUCUAACUUUAUUAUGUUUGUCACAUAUGCAUUGACCAAAUUAUAUAGAAAACUUAAUUAUAACACAUAUGCAUUAAACUUAUAAUACAAAUAUGUUAAAAUUAAUUAGGACAUGACCAAAUUUUAUUUUUUAAUAAUUAUCGCUAUUGAUUUUUUUUUAUUAAAAUAUUUUUUUAUAGUUGUUGUUAUUAAUUAGUAGUAUUAUUAUUAUGUUUGACUUUUAAAUCCUUUUCGGGACUUGUAAAAAUAGAUUCCUUAAGGGGACUUCUAAGCUACAUAUGACUUAAAUUAAAGAGUAAAAAAAUGUGAGUACAAUUUUAUUUUAUUUUUUGUAUGAAUUAAAGAAUAAAAAAGUAGUGGACAAAUUUUAAUAAAAAAUGUGAGUAUGAUUUUUGUGAUAUUCUUUAAAUUAAAGAAUAUAUAAUCUUCUGAUUCAACCUCUUGAGGAUUCAAAUUUGGCAAUUAUGUACUUUUGCUUAACUUAAUCAAGGGUUGACUAGGCUUGAUCUUGACUCUUCCACAUCAAUAGUUGAUUUGUACCAAAAUAUAUACUUAUAAAAACACUAAUGAUUGCGCUCUAGACUCGCAACGGGGACAAAUCACUAUUUAUAUCUUAGAUUAGUGUUAAUAUCCAUUUUGAGAACUAAUGCACUAUUUUUUAAUAAACAGACAAAGAAAAGGAGAAAUGUGAGAAUUUGAUGCUAUUUUGACAUAUGAAAUAAAAUAAAGGUACGAAUAUAACGCAUAAAGAUGUCCUAGUAUUUAUUGAAGUGGAGAAAGUGGAGUAAAGCAAGAACAAUCACAAAAGCAUAUCAAAUUGGUUUAAGGAGUAUUAAAAUUGAUUUGAGGUCAAACUAAUAACAAAAGAAAUGAAGUAACACAAACCAAUGCCCAAAAUUAAUAUUCCCAUUUCAAAACCAAUUCAGGAGGACAAUGAAGAUGCAUUAGUAGUAAUUCGCAUUCAAAUUCUGAUUUGUAAAGCUUUAAAUUAGUUUUGACGAUUCCACUUUAAAGAGAAAUUGGUUUCACUAGAGCUUCUUGCAAGUUUCCCAUUGAAAUUCAUAUUUGAGACUUUACUUUUGUAAUUAUGGUUUGUUAGAUAUUACUUUUGUUAAAGUGGCCAAUGAGGUUAAGUGACAUGUACUUUUAGGGUUAGAUUAUACAUACUUUUCAUUAAUGGGUUAAAAGGAGAGUGUAGUUUUAUAUUUGGAUUUUCAUGUUCAUAUGUUGAAGAUCUUUUGCUUUAUUUUCAAUAAUACCAUAGGUUCCUUAUUAUCUUAUGAAAUUUGUGUGAAAACUCAACCAUGAGAGGCUAUGAACCUUUCUUCUAGCAAUGUAGCAUAAAAGGUGGAGGAUUGGGACAAAGGGCAAUGAGUAUAGUAAGGCUACAUUGGUAGAUUAGGGUUUUGAUGUUUAUUUUGAGGUAAUGAGAUCCUUGGUAUAGUUUGGAUUGGGUGAAAUAUAGUAGAUGCUUGUUUAAGGUACUACUAAUACCUAGACACCGGGUAAUUAAGUCUAAUCCCAAAUAUAUAAGAUGAAUAAAUAAUUUGGAUAUAUGGACAAAUUUAGGUUUUGUCAGAUUUAGAGUCAUAGGAAAAGUCUUAUCAAUCUAUAAAAGUCAAUUAUGUCGAUAUCAGAGGAGGGUAUCCGAAUAUGACACGAUGUUCUUUUCUUCUCUAGUUUUUAUUAGCCAAAAUUUCUAUGGAAAUAAAGAAAUUUAUAGUAAAACAAAAAGUAUGAAUCAAGAAAAUGGUGUCAUCCCCAAUGACCAUGAAAAUAAGUUUAAAGUGAUUAUAUUAUUUUCAUAUAUCUACCCAAUUUCAUUUAUUUUAUUUUUUAUUUAAACAAUGAAAAUCUUUCAAAUAUAUAAAAUAUGUAAGUUUUUAAUUUUUUUUGGCAAGCCCAACCCACAUUGCCACCACCUUAAUCAUUGUUUUCUAGGGGGAAAAGCCCGUCUAAACAAGCCCAUAUCACCACAGUUUGGGCUCUACCUUUUGACCCCAUCUCGGAUGAGUAAUGCAUUUAAAGGCCUCCCUAUUCGUCGUCCGAUGUGGGAUUGGUGAUAUUAGUUUAAAGAAAAACAAUGAAAGAAAAUCCCACCAAGUUUAAGAGAUAAUAUGGGCACCACUCGCCCACACACUUUUUAAUGCUAAGCUUAGCAAACACAAAAAAAAUAUCAUUUUCUAAAAAAUUUUAUAAUAUUAAAUAAAAACAAUGUAAUAUUUUUAAAAAUCAAGUAAUUAAAUUUUCUCUAUUUUUAAUAUAUUCAAAUUUAAAUAUUAUACAUAUUUUAUUUAAAUAUAAUAUCACAUAUUCGAUGACUAAUUUAACUAGUUAGUUAUGAAUCAAUAAUUUUUUUGAUUUAAUAUUCCGAAUUUUAUUUUAUUUUUUUCUCCUACUAUACUCAUACAAUAAACACACGAUCAAUUAAAUAAUUUUUUAUACUUUGAUAUCAUUUAUUUAAACUUUGAUUUGAAAAUCAAUAAAUAAAUAAUAAUAAACCUAGAAUCUAGAACCUUCCAAAUGGAAGACAAAGUGGAGCAUGUUGUGGCAUUAUGCUCAAUUUUGAGAAGAAAUUCUGUAGAAGGCAGUUAGAUGCCUAAAUUCAACUUAAAGCAUCUUUUUAUUAAUUAUUAUCAUCCCCUCAACCCCCUCUCCACUCACUUUUACGAUUCGCCACCUCCACUCAUUUCGGUCUCCCGAUUUUUUACUUUCUGUUCAUUUUCUUACGUAAUAUUAAAAUUAUUCUUACACAUAAUAUAAAUUAUUUUCUUUAAAAAAAAAAUACAAUUUCCAGCGUAAAAAUAAAAGCCUUAAAGAAGUCUGUAUUACAAACCCGGCCCAAAAAGGGCAGUUUUCCGGACAAAUUAUUUGUCCAACACCAUUAUUGUUCAUAGUAUUAUUCGAGGAAGGAGAUGAUCCAAAAUCAAAAGUCAUCACCAUCGUAAUCUUCCAAGUCAUCACCAUCGAUCCUAUCUUCCACGUCAUCAGCAAUGUGAUCCUCCAAAGCAUCCACGCCCUCCGAUAUUGCCAGCCCACCCAAGACCCCUGCGACUGCGCCCACUGCCAGUCCCGUCCCCAUCCCCAUCCCUGACUUCUUCUGCGGCUGCUCCACCACCGUCUGUCCGUAUGGCCCCUGCGCGUAUGGCCCUUGUCCGUACGCCGGAUCUCCGUAUCUUGGCUGAGGCUGCCCAUAUGCCGGCUGUCUGUAGGGGUCUUGGCCGUAGGGUGGUGCAUUGGAGUAGUAAGGAUCAGGUGGGGGUGCGCCGUAUGGAGUGGCGUAAGCCGGGGAAGCCGCGUAGCCUGCGCCUCUGGUUCCCGCUGGCGGGGGCACGCCGUAAGGGGGUGAGUAGGCAGACCCAGGCGCACGGUAGCGCGGAUCUCUCACAGAGACCUUGACUUCCACCUUGCCAUGAGGGCGGCCAGAGGGGCGGCGGAGCUCGAGAGUGCGGAUGGCCUGGGCGCCGAAGCCGACGUCAUCGACGACGUCGCGGAGGAAGAGGCGAGCGGAGCCGACGACCGGCUUGGUGUCGUCUUCGUCAUCGGCUUUGAGAUGGACAACGUCGAGGUAGAGUGUGGAGUCUUCGAUCCGGGAGGGCACUGGAAUGAGUAGAGUCUCGUUCCAGCAAGGAAAGGUGUCGCCGUCGUUGUCGACUUUGGUGGAGAGCUUGGCCGCAGGAUCCACCCAAACCACGACGUAUGGCUUCAGAGAGCCGUGACGCCAGUUGACGUUCUUCAGAUCUUUGGCGGAGGAGAUAAUCAGCUCUAUCUCGUAGCGACCAGCCAUGGAAGGGGCAAUAAGGGAAAAAUAAUGGAGAAAAUGGUCGGACUGUCGAAUGGUUGCUAGUCGUGGGUCAAGUAUUUAUAGGCUUUAAUGUCCGCUUGUCCUUCGAAAAUCUUGUCCCUUUUACCGUUAUACCCUCCUACCCAUGUUUGAAAAAAAAAAAAAAAACAAAUAAGAAACAACUUCUCUGUAAGUCAAAAGACAACAUUUUUCUAAUUUUAAAAUUAAACUAUUUUUGAACGUUCGGUGAGAGGGUAUUUUGGUAAAAAAAUAUGACAGAGGAGCUCAACUGGGGAAGGGCAUAAUAGGGAAAAGACUAACUAGGGAAAGGGUUUGGGCCCCACGGAUUGCUUUCUCACUAAGCAUCGAGAUUGUCCUGAUGCUCUGUCUUUAUGCGCACUCGAUGGUUGCGGAAUUCUAUUGGUGUAACCGGAUAAUGCCGGUGUCAGAUGUCAAUUGAGAGGAGAUCGGCGUUGUCCACACGAGGAAUAUUCUCGCAUGACAGAGAAAGGUCUCGUAACGAGAUUGGUCCUACGCGGAAUAGACACGGCGUCACUUGGGCCGGACCUUGUCAAUUUUGUAUCUUUUAGGCCCAAAAAGUGGGCCACCAAGGCAGCCCAUGGGCUUGUUGCAAGCCCACUAUUGCCAUCUUUCAUCUACUUCACCAGGAAAAGUUCUUGAUUUCUCUUCCAAGGUGGAACCGUUGAACGUCCAUGAUUAUUUGUCAUGAUUAUAAAGCAAUAAAAAUUUUAAUUUAUUUACUUAUGAUGUUUUUAUUCAAUUUAUAUGAUCAUAAUGUUAUUAAGUCACUUCUUUUGUUAUAUGUUUCUUAAAAUCAUUUGAAAAUUCAAUUUCUAAAGUCUUAAAAAUAAAAUCACUAGUCUAUGGUCCAUGACUACUAAGUUUUUGCAUUUUGUAUAAAAAUUAUUGUCAAUUUUCUAUUUUAAAAACAAAAAGGCAUAAUCAAUUAGAUGAUAUCAUGUAUGUGCCUUCGAAUUUUAUUCAUUUAUACUUGAAUUUGGUUCGUUCUAUAUUCUUGAAUUUAGAAGUCCCAAAAGAUUCUUCCAAUAUAUCAUUUUCGGUCCAAUGGAAGAAUUUUAUUUUUUAUUUGUUCACUUUUAAAAAAUCGCAUUCCAUUCUUACUUGCAAUAGAAACCCAAAAGAUUCUUCCAAUAUAUCAUUUCUGGGUCUAAUGGAAGAAUUUUAUUUUUUAUUUGUUCACUUUUAAAAAAUCGUAUUUCAUUCUUACUUGCCAUAGAAAAUAUGGGAAAUUGGUUAUGGCCUCAACACGCUAUAUCUCCCCUAAAAAUUUAGUUAUUGUUUGGAUAUAUUUCUUGUAUUUUAUAUGUAGAAAUACAUUUUAUAUAAAAAGUAUGAACUUACCUUAUAUCCUUAAAAAAUAUUUUACAAUUAAACUUUGAAAACUAAGAAAGAUCAAAGGGAAACUAUUUUCUCAUGUUAAAAUAAAAAUAAAAUAACUCCGUUAAUUUGAAGAUGGUUCAUGAUCCUUGACAAUGACACCAUUUUCUUGAUUGAUACUUUUGGUUUUAAUAGAAAUUUCUUUAUUUUCAUAGAAAUUUUGGUCAAUAACAACUAAAAAGAAGAUAAGAAUAGUGUGUAAUAUUCAAAUAUCUUCCUUUGACAUCGGCAUAAUUGACUUUUUAUUCAAUUUAUAUGAUUAUAAUGUUAUUAAGUCACUUCUUUUGUUAUAUGUUUCUUAAAAUUAUUUGAAAAUUCAAUUUCUAAAGUCUUAAAAAUAAAAUCACUAGUCUAUGGUCUAUGACUACUAAGUUUUUGCAUUUCGUAUAAAAAUUAUUAUCAAUUUUCUAUUUUAAAAACAAAAAGACACCAUCAAUCAAAUGAUGUCAUGUAUGCGCCUUCGAAUUUUAAUCAUUUAUACUUGAAUUUGAUUUGUUUUAUAUUCUUGAAGUUGGAAGACCCAAAAGAUUCUUCCAAUAUAUCAUUUCCGGGUCUAAUGGUAGAAUUUUAUUUUUUAUUUGUUCAUUUUUAAAAAAUCAUAUUCCAUUCUUACUUGCCAUAGAAAAUAUGGGAAAUUGGUUACCGCCUCAACACGCUACAUCUCCCCUAAAAAUUUAGUUAUUGUUUGGAUAUAUUUCUUGUAUUUUACACGUAGAAAUAACUUUUAUAAUAACUUUGAUAUAAAAAGUAUGAAUAUACCGUAUAUCCUUAAAAAAUAUUUUGUAAUUAAACUUUGAAAACUAAGAAAGAUCAAAGGAAAACUAAUUUCUCAUGUUAAAAUAAAAACAAAAUAACUCUGUUAAUUUGAAGAUAUUUCAUGAUUCUUGACGAUGACACCAUUUUCUUGAUUGAUACUUUUGGUUUUAAUAGAAAUUUCUUUAUUUUCAUAGAAAUUUUGGUCAAUAACAACUAAAGAGAAUAUAAGAAUAGUGUGUAAUAUUCAAAUAUCUUCCUCUAACAUCGGCAUAAUUGACUUUUUAUAGAUUGACUAAAGUUAGCUUUAAAUCCGAUGAAACCUAAAUGUGUCCAUACAUCCAAAUUAUUUAUUCAUCUUAUAAAUUUAGGUUUAGACUUAAUUAGAAUAGAUCAAAUCAAGUUAACUAAUGAUUAAGUGGUGUCUAGAUAUUGGUAGUAUAUUCACAAACAUCUAUUUUAUUUCACCUAAUCCAGACUACACCAAGGAUCUCAUUAAUUAUCUCAAAAUAAACAUCAAAACCCUAAUCUUCCAAUCUAGUCUUAUUGUACUCAUUGCUUCUUCUUGUCCCAAUCCUCCACCAUCAUGCUACACCACCAUAAGAAAGGUUCAUAGCCUCUAAUGGCUAAGUUUUAACACAAUUUUCAUAAGAGAGUAAGAAAUCGACGAUAUUAUUGAAAAGAAAGCAAAAAGUCUCCAAUAUAUGACCGUGAAAAUCCAAAUGUAAAACUACCUUCUCCUUUUAAUUUAAUGAUGAAAUAUAUAUAUAAUCUAACCCUAAAAAGACAUGUGACCUCAAGGAUGAAAAUAUUGGUUUUUAUAGAUAUAUCGACAACUCAAUUUUAUAGAGAUAUAAGAAAAUAUCGAUGAAUAUUUUGACUCAAAAUAUCAAUAGGACAAAAAUCGAUGAAAACUAGUAAACAUGUUGAAAAAAACUCUAAAAAUGAUAUAAUAAACAAUAAUAAAUAUUUUAAAGUUUUUUUAUCAAAGAAAAUGAUAUUAUACAAUAUAAUUUAUCAUAUUUGAUAAUAAUAUCGUAUAUGUCGAUAACAAAUAUGAAUUUUAUAAGUGUACAUUUAUCAUUAAAUUACAUCAAAUAUUAUUCAAUAAUAAUAUUAUAAUAUUUUAUUAUAAUAUGUUUAAUUUUAAAUAUUUAAUAUUAAAUUUAUGAUUCAUUUAAUUCAAUUGUAUUAAAUAAUAUAAAAUAAAUGAUGAUAUAUAUAUAUAUAUAUAUAUAUAUAUAUAUAUAUAUAUAUAUAUAAUUUUUUAAUAUUUAAUUAAUAUAUUAAUGAUAAUUUUUAUAUUUUUGGUAAUUAAUCAAAUGAAAAAUUUUCAUUUAAUUAUAAUUAAUUUGUUCUUUAAAAUAUUCCUUUAAUGUUUUGUUUAUAUGAUAACUUUAUAUAUAUAUAUAUAUAUACUUGGUGCACUAUGUUUAAAAAAGACAUAUAUAUCAUAUGAUUCAAAAAGGUUAAUAGACGAAGCUAUCUCUUUCUCUAAAUUUAUAGAAAUCCUUUCCAAUCAAUCUGAAUUUGAGAUUAGUUUUAUUUUUUUCCCAAUUUAAUUUAAUGAUUUUCUUGGUGUUAAUUCCAGGCAAAUGCUGUGAGGGCAUAUCGUCCUCAGUGGACGUGCAGGAAAAAGGACAUAUACCCACAGUUCUAUGAGGACGCCAAGGUGUACUGCAAUGGUGAACUGGUGAUGACCACUGGUGGGACUCAGAAGGAGUAUGUGGUCGAUGUCUGGUCUGGAAACCACCCCUUCUACCUCGGGAACCGCUCCGCUCUUCUAGUGGACGCUGAUCAAGUCGAGAAGUUCCGGAAGAAGUUUGGGGAAAUAUCACAGAUUAUGGAAAUUCCUGUCCUCAAAUAUGGAGAAAUCGUGCUACCACCUAAACGCAAAUCUGGUUCUGGUAAAGGGGGAAAGAAGAAGUAGUUGCCCAAUUUCACGGUAAAAAGAAAUAGCCUCUGUUUGGUUGCAAGGAAAAAAAUUGGAAGCAAGUUAUGAAUCUUAUCUGUUUAUUUUCUUACUUUUCUCAGCUUCCAAAUAGGGCAAUUAGGGUUUUGGUUUUCUGUUUAUUGGACAGUGUAAUUUGAUUACUUGUUAUAAAUUUUUUAAAGUAAUCCCUAUUUCGUGUUCAGUGGUAUGUCUUAAUUUUUUUUCUUUUUGAUUAUUAUUAAUUUUAAUUGUAUAUUUUAUUAAAUACUUUAAAAUGUCCUAUAGUCCAAAAGAAUAGUUUUGUCUAGAACCAUGUUCACUGAUUGUGAUGCACUAAGUAAAUAUCAGUCAGCUUACUCUGGGAAACCCCAUUGAGAUUCUGCAGUUCCCAGAACAACAAUAAUAUAAGUAAAUAUCGUUCUAUAUUCUUGAACUUAGAAGACCCAAAAGAUUCUUCCAAUAUAUCAUUUCCGGGUCCAGUGGAAGAAUUUUAUUUUUUAUUUGUUCACUUUAAAAAAAUCGCAUUCCAUUCUUGCAAUAGAAACCCAAAAGAUUCUUCCAAUAUAUCAUUUCCGGGUCCAAUGGAAGAAUUUUAUUUUUUAUUUGUUCACUUUUAAAAAAUCGUAUUCCAUUCUUACUUGCCAUAAAAAAUAUGGGAAAUUGGUUAUGGCCUCAACACGCUAUAUCUCCUCUAAAAAUUUAGUUAUUGUUUGGAUAUAUUUCUUGUAUUUUAUAUGUAGAAAUACAUUUUAUAUAAAAAAUAUGAACUUACCUUAUAUCCUUAAAAAAUAUUUUACAAUUAAACUUUGAAAACUAAGAAAGAUCAAAGGGAAACUAUUUUCUCAUGUUAAAAUAAAAAUAAAAUAACUCUGUUAAUUUGAAGAUGGUUCAUGAUCCUUGACAAUGACACCAUUUUCUUGAUUGAUACUUGUAGACCCCCUUGUUGGCAGGGAGAGGGAGGGGGAAAAUAUUAUUUUUUUUAGGAGAGUGGGUGAGAUUGGAAGUGAUGGAGAGGACGGGAAGUAGCGGGAGAUUUGAGGGGGAAGAAAUCUGGAAAAAGAGAAAAGGAAAGGGGGGAAGAUUUUUUUUGAGGGUUUUUGAGGCUGGCGAUUAAGGAUUGGAGGUUUUGGAAAAGAAGAGAUUUUUUCAGAGGAAGAGAGUAGAGGUCCGGAUUUUUAGAAAGAAAAAAACCAAAGCUGAAAGGGGAGAGGGUGAUAUCUGGAGAGGAGAAAAACAAAGAAAAUGGAGAUAGAGACAGUCUGAAGGAGACGGAAAAAAAGCUGUGCUUGGGAGGAGCCUUUCAGGUAAGAUUUUUUUUGUAAACUUCACAUCUCUUUUUCUCUCUUAGGUACAGUCUUCGAUCUUCAUGCUCACUGUGGGGAUGAGGAAUUCGUUGUUUUUUUGUAGAGAGAGAAAAGAAUUGGGCGGCUGGGGGAUUAUAAGACAGUGGGAUGCUUUUUAAAAGUUUUUAAUUCAAAUUGUUUUUUUCUAGCAAGGCAUUUGGGUUCGUGCCUAUUUUUUUACUUUGAGUAAAGCUCUCAAAGCCAUUUAUAUAUAUUUUUUUAUUAUUCCUUUCUUGCAUGGAAAUCAUAACAUGGCAGAAGACUUUUUGGUGGGCUUGAAUAUUUAUGUCCAUUUUUCUUUCUUUUGCUUUUUGGCGAACACGUUUUCACAAAUUGAAUUCUCAAAACAACUUUCAAAAUUUCAGUUUUUUUAAUCACUUCAAUCUUCAAAUUAAUUUUUCAAAAAUUCUAAUAUCCAAAUUUAAUUUCUAAAAUGUCAUCUUAAAAUAAAUCUUUCAAACAAAUUCUGAUUUCCAAAUUCAAUUCCCAAUUUCUGAAAUUCUAAUUUUUCGACUUUCAAAUUUAAUUUUCAAUUUCCAAAAUUUUAAUAUUCACAUUCAUUUAUUUAAUCAUUACUAUUUUUUGUUAUGAUUAUUAUUAUUCUAUUUACUUAUUUAUCUUAAAAUUCCAUUCUUAAACAUUUUUUCUCAAAAUUUCAAUUUUUGAACUUAAUUUUUAAUUCCCAAAAUUCCAAUUCUUAAAUUUAAUUCCCAAAAUUCCAAUUUUCAAAUUUAAUUCCCAAAACUCCAAUUUUCAAAUAAAUUCCAAAAAUCCAAUUUUCACGUGAACAAUUUUAAUUCUAUUCCGGUUCUCAAUUUUUCUUGGUUUUACAUAAGCAUGAAUGUCAUUUUCAUAAUUUCAGAACAAUGGAAUUUGUGAGAUUAAUUCGUGCAAGAUCAAUCGGGCUUUGGUGGGGGCCCCACAUACGUGAUUUUAUGAUUGAUUGAUUUGUUUGUCACGCACAAUUUAUUUAUCCUGCUCUCCGACAUGCAUGCUAUUAUUUCUUAAUUAUGCACUAACCUCUCUCUUGAUAGCGCAUGGUGGCUCGUCGCCCAGGUACGCACUUACUUUCACUCUGGUAAUUGUCCAAGCAUAUUUUGAUUCUCACGUGUGCAUGAUUUAUUCUGGGUACUCAUUGAUCUACUCGUCCACUGCCCUGAUUGUUUCAUUUUAUUAGUAGAGACCCGUUUUUAGGGACUUAAAAGGGUGCUACGGUUUUUACCGUACCUUCCUGAUAAGUAACCUGACCCCCGAACCCGAUCCGGUUUUUUGUAGAUCACCUUUUCCAAAUAAGGAGUCACACUUAGGGUUUUUCUUUCUUAUUUUGUUUACCCUUUUAAAAAUAAAACAAAAAUAAGUGGCGACUCCAAGUCAUUUUUCCUAAUCAAUAAAAUCAAUUUUUCAAAUAAAAGUCGAGCUCGCCAUCGAAUGGGAAACGCAUUGAGCCGAAAUGCGGGGUCCACAAUACUUUUGGUUUUAAUAGAAAUAAAAUUAUAACUCUGUUAUAAGUGUACAUUUAUUAUUAAAUUACAUCAAAUAUUAUUCAACAAUAAUAUUAUGAUAUUUGAUUAUAAUAUGUUUAAUUUUAAAUAUUUAAUAUUAAAUUUAUGAUUCAUUUAAUUCAAUUGUAUUAAAUAAUAUAAAAUAAAUGAUGAUAUAUAUAUAUAUAAUUUUUUAAUAUUUAAUUAAUAUAUUAAUGAUAAUUUUUAUAUUUUUGGUAAUCAAUCAAAUGAAAAAUUUUCAUUUAAUUAUAAUUAAUUUGUUCUUUAAAAUAUUCCUUUAAUGUUUUGUUUAUAUGAUAACUUUAUAUAUAUAUAUAUACUUGGUGCACUAUGUUUAAAAAAGGGUGAGCUUGGCCCAAUGGCUGGAUAAGGCAUCUUUAUGCGUAAUAUUCAUACCUUUACUUAAUCUCAUAUGUCAUAAUUGAGUCAAAUUCUCACAUUUUCUACUUCUUUUUUUUUUUGGGUCUUUUUAUUAAAAAAUAGUGCAUUAGUUCUCAAGUAUUUAUAGCACAAUCAUUAGUAUCUUUACAAAUAUAUAUUUAAUACAACUCAAUUAUUAAUGCAAAAGAGUUGAGAUUAAACCUAGUGGACCUUGAUUAAGUCAAAUAAGAGUACAUAAUUGCCAUAUUUGAAUCCUUAAGAGGUCGAAUCAAAAGAUUAUACAUUAUUUAAUUUAAUAAUAAUAAUAACUAUAAAAAAAUAUUUUAAGAAUAAAAAAACCAAUAUUGAUAAUUAUUAAAAAAGUAAAUUUUGGUCAAGUUAUAAGUUCAAUGCAUAUGUGUCGUGCUAGAGUUUUAUGACAAACAUAACUCGAGGCACCGACCAUGCCAUAUUUAUUUCUAUAUUAAUACAUUAUUAUCAAUGAAUUAAAAUUUAGGUGUGUUCUUAUUGUCAAUGAUUCUUACAAUAAAGCCGACAAGUCUCAUAUACAAAAAUAAGAGGCGUCUUCUAUGGUUGGGUUGUAUGGGGUAUGGGAGAAAAAGGCAAACCAAUGAGAAAAUUUGAAUAUCUUAUAGUUCUAGUUUCCCAAUGAAAAUUGGCGACCUAACCUUCCUCCCUUCCUCCGUCGAGUCCAGCGACCUCUUCUCUUCCUCCGCCACAAAGUCCUGCCUGAUUUGGCAGAUGGGCAUCGAUAAUCGGUUGUGCGCUGGAAAUCAGCACCAUGGAUCAGCAAAGCUUGGCAGACUGUAAACUCAAAAAUCCUUUACAUAUAUAGCUGAGGCAUGUUUGAUCAACUGGCCCAAGGGUGUCUUAUUUCUCAGGUUCCCUUUACCAAUACAGGUCAAAAUCAAGAAGGAUUAGCCCACCUUGACAUUAUAAUGUUGCAUGGAAAAAGUUUCCCGAGAAACCCAAGAAACUUUGAAAGUUCUAGAAUAACGGGUUGAAGAAUCUUAUAAUUCACCAUAUUUUCUUUUUCUUUUUUGGUAUUUUUAAUUAUAUAAAAAAAGAAUAAUAAAUAUCAUAAAAAUAAAUAUUAAUUAUUAAAUUAAGAAAAUCAAAUAUUAUUAAUAUUUUAUUUUUAUUAAGGAAACAAAUAUUAUUUUUUUAUUUAUGAUUUAUGAAAAUAUUGAUUCUACCAUCAUCUACACUAAAGUGCUUAACCCACGACAAUCUCCUCAUUGGCGUGCUCAAAGUUCCUGCAAAUGUUUCUUUACCGAAGAAAUGUGAAGGAAAAUAAAAUAAAAUAAAAUAAAAUCACAUAAAAAAUAUCAUGAAAUCCAUAAUAUACUAUAUUUUAUAAAUAUAAAAAUAAAAUAUGGUUCUUAUAUAUUUCCAAGUCUAUUUCAAUCAAAGUGUUAUUUUAAACAAAAGUUCAAAGGACUAGCAUUGAAAGACAAAAUAUGAAAAACAACCAUCGCUUCUAUUAUGCCUACUUUUAAUAGAAAAAAUGUAAAUGUUUAUGACUUAUUAGGCUCCAAGCCAAUAAUUCAUUAGUCAAGAUCUCAUUUCGAUACAUCAUUUAAGUGUAAUCUCUUACUAAAUAAUUUGUGAGGGUCAUUUAAUUCAACUUUUGUUGAAGCAAGAUAGAAGCCGAUAUUGAAUAUGCUAUGAGACAUAAGGGAUAAGAACAACGAAUGCAAGGAGGACUUGUAAGAAUAAGUGGGAGAUGUUGUUGUGCCCUAAUAUUUAUAAGAUUUUGGAGAAUGAUAAGAUUAAGGCAAAUAGUUGAAUACCUAUUUGGGUUUGUGAUUUAAAGUUUGAAAUCAAUUGCAUAUGUAGUGAUAGAUAUGUUAUUGAUAUUGUCAAUCAAACAUGCAAAUGCAUAAAUGAGACUUAACCGGUAUCCCUUGUUCAUAUGCAAUUUUAACUAUAUUUGUAGAAGAGAAAUAAUAAGUUUUAAGUUAUCUUUAAAAAUUACUAGACUCGUUAAUGAAUCAAACACAUUAACUCUUACUUAAUGUUUAUUUGUUUACUUAAAAAAAUUGUAAAAGUAUGAUAUAUAUAUAUAUAAAAUAAAUUAACCUAGCCAUUUAAAAUAAAUUUUGAUUUAAGACUUUUUCGUGUUUUUGAGUUUUAUGACUUUUUAGUUUAAUUAAAUCAAUUUUUGAGUUUAAAUAUUUUUUAAAAAAUAAUAAAUUUAUUUGUUUAAUAAAAAAUAUUAAAGAAGUUAAAGGAAAUUCAGAAAAGCAAAUCAUAUUUGAAAAUUUUCAAUACUUGUACAGUGCGGAGAGAAAGUGAGAGAACAGUAUAUUCUGUUCAAUUUUAUGAAAAAUAAAACACCAGUCCAACACCUAAACCUCCAUUAGAAACUCCUUAUCCUUCUCCAACCUUUCCAUUGUACCAGCCUCCAACGUUAUCUCAACGUCAAUGCUUCCUCCCCCGGUCUUCCCCUGAUACAAAUACACCAUUCCGUCAAAUUUGUUGUUCGAUCCACUUCUCACCCUCUCCGGCUUCCCAAACCCAAAGUCCACGUCGUACACCUUGAACCUCGGCGAGCUUCCCACCGUAACGCAGUUCACUCCGGCGUCUUUGAACUGGAAUAUUAUUGGGUUGCUCUCCCACUUAUCGUUGCGUUCGUUGAUGGCUUUCGCGUCGUUCGUUACGAUCGCUUUUUGAAUCAUUGCCGCCGCGAACUCCGGCGGGUUUGCGUAGAGGAGUCCGGCUGCGGUGACGGUGAAGAUGGCUUGAAUCAGGUUGCCGAAGUAGGACUCCGGCAUGGGAGGGUCGACCCUCUUGCGGCAGUUGGCGAAGACGGUGUAGACGGUGACGUCCUCGGGUUUGAGUUGGCGAGCGCGUGUCACCGCGAGCCACACGUGCGUGGAGAGCGAUUGGAAGGAGGAGAAGGGUCUGGAGCCGUCAGAUGGGGUUUUGUUGAGCGUUGACUUGACCCGGUUGAUUUGAGAUUCCGAGAAUCGGAAGAUGCGCUCGCGGAGAAGCGGCGGCGGCUCCGACGUGCCGCUUGGAUUGGCGGCUGUGGGGUCGAGGGGGAGGUCGAACUUCACGCGCGUUUUGCGCGCUUUGGUGCGGUCGAGGAACGGUGGGACGGAGAUGGAGUCGGCUCCACUGCAGAUUUCGGCCCACGAGCUCAUGAAGUGCCACGUGGAGGUACCGUCGAGGACAGCGUGGUUGAACGCGCAUCCCAUUGCGAGGCCAUCUCUUAGCUUGGUGAACUGCGGAUCAUGACAGAAAAACA